GGCAGCAGCAACAGACACCUGACUGCUGCAAGAAGGAAUGAUGGACGUGGACUGACAGGGAAAGCAAAAGGAGAGGAGGGAUUCACACCACGCCACGGGGAAGAGCCAGGCUCAGCUGCUUGGGAUCUAUGGAGGAGAAGCCGCGCAGGAUUUGUGGAGCCACAACGACAGAGAAGGAGCAAAUCACUGCGGGAUGCCAGAAUUCAUCCCGAGGGAGCAACUCACAGAGUUGCAUCCACGUGGACUGGCUCUAAUCCCUGUGGGUGCAGUUUCAUCCACUGAAAUCCAUCCUCUGCAAGGUGCUAGCACAGCUGCCAUGGGAAAUAAGGGCUGAGCCAUUGCUGGAAUGAUCUUACAGGAAUGAUCCUCAUCUCCAUUAGGGGCUCAGCUAAGCCAUGGAGACUUAAAGUUGAUUAUACCUUUCGUUAGGAAUGACUGAAUGAUGUUUUAAAGCUGGAAAAUGAACUCGCAGCUAAGAGGAAACACUUUCUUGGCGAGGCCGUAGAGUAGGCUCCCCACGGAAUAGAUGCAGCUGUGAGAGUCAAAAUUAAAUUGAUAUUAGAAAAUUUCCUGAGGGGGAAAAAAGUCAUCUGGUGCCUACAGAAAUGGUAUCGUGCAGAGAGCUGACUAGGAAAUGGAAAGCUGCUGAAACUCAAAUAUAUAUGUGUGUGUGUGUGAGUAUACGUAUGUCUAUAUAUGUUUAAAUAAAAAAG
This 713-nucleotide long non-coding RNA is filed under the name Serinus canaria (Common canary). RNAcentral describes it as "lncRNA (ENSSCAG00000010052.1)". The record is from RNAcentral. Lineage: Eukaryota; Metazoa; Chordata; Aves; Passeriformes; Fringillidae.